UACGGGGGGGGCAAGCGUUGUUCGGAAUUACUGGGCGUAAAGGGCUCGUAGGCGGCCAACUAAGUCAGACGUGAAAUCCCUCGGCUUAACCGGGGAACUGCGUCUGAUACUGGAUGGCUUGAGGUUGGGAGAGGGAUGCGGAAUUCCAGGUGUAGCGGUGAAAUGCGUAGAUAUCUGGAGGAACACCGGUGGCGAAGGCGGCAUCCUGGACCAACACUGACGCUGAUGAGCGAAAGCCAGGGGAGCAAACGGG
Molecule: ribosomal RNA, 253 nt
Filed under: uncultured bacterium
Lineage: Bacteria
Description: partial 16S ribosomal RNA
Rfam family: Bacterial small subunit ribosomal RNA
Source: RNAcentral